Molecule: ribosomal RNA, 336 nt
Filed under: uncultured Anaerolineaceae bacterium
Lineage: Bacteria; Bacillati; Chloroflexota; Anaerolineae; Anaerolineales; Anaerolineaceae
Description: bacterial SSU rRNA
Rfam family: Bacterial small subunit ribosomal RNA
Source: RNAcentral
UUACAGGUGUUGCAUGGCUGUCGUCAGCUCGUGUCGUGAGAUGUUCGGUUAAGUCCGCUAACGAGCGCAACCCUCGUCGUAUGUUAUAUGUGUCAUACGAGACUGCCGGUAAAAAGCCGGAGGAAGGUGAGGAUGAUGUCAAGUCAGCAUGACCUUUAUAUCCAGGGCUACACACACGCUACAAUGGUCUGUACAAUGGGUAGCCAAGCCGCGAGGCGGAGCCAAUCCUGAAAGCAGGCCUCAGUUCAGAUUGCAGUCUGCAACUCGACUGCAUGAAGCCGGAGUUGCUAGUAACCGCAGGUCAGCAAUACUGCGGUGAAUACGUUCCCGGGUCUU